AACGAACGCUGGCGGCAUGCCUAACACAUGCAAGUCGAACGAGACCUUCGGGUCUAGUGGCGCACGGGUGCGUAACGCGGGGGAACCUGCCCUUAGGUUCGGAAUAACUCCCCGAAAGGGGUGCUAAUACCGGAUAAUGUCUUCGGACCAAAGAUUUAUCGCCUUUGGAUGGGCCCGCGUUGGAUUAGCUAGUUGGUAGGGUAAAAGCCUACCAAGGCGACGAUCCUUAGCUGGUCUGAGAGGAAGAUCAGCCACACUGGGACUGAGACACGGCCCAGACUCCUACGGAAGGCAGGAGUGGGGAAUAUUGGACGAUGGGCGAAAGCCUGAUCCAGCAAUGCCGCGUGAGUGAUGAAGGCCUUAGGGUUGUAAAGCUCUUUUACCCGGGAUGAUAAUGACAGUACCGGGAGAAUAAGCACCGGCUAACUCCGUG
Molecule: ribosomal RNA, 433 nt
Filed under: uncultured bacterium
Lineage: Bacteria
Description: partial 16S ribosomal RNA
Rfam family: Bacterial small subunit ribosomal RNA
Source: RNAcentral